AUCCUAAGUGUUCAUGUCAACUAGCAAAGGUCUGCAUUUUCUGAUAAAAUAACUUAUAAAACUUCCAUAUUAAGAGCUAAAAUGGUUUGGAAGACAAAGAAGUGCUGAGAAAUAGUUAUGCGAGAAUUCCUGGUGGAGGUGGGCAACUCUCUUCCCUGCAGAUAUUCAAGGAUUCAGGCAGAUAGAAUCUCGUUCAUCAUCAACAUGUUGCCUGCAAGGAUCUUAUGGUUUCUCCAUCUCAUCCAGCCAGAAGCAAAUAAAAGCACAGGCAAGCCCACAGAGGAGGAUUUUAUGGGCCAAACCUGGGAGUGACUCAUCACAUCCCUCCCCAUAAUCCAUUGACUAGAAUGUAAUUAUUUGGCCAUACCUAACUUCAAGAGCAGCUGGGAAAUGUGAGCUUGCUGCGUGCCCAGGAAGAAUAAGGAAAAAGGACUUUGGUGGGCAACUAUCAGUUUCUCACUUCUCUUGGUGCUAAAGAGCUUUGUAGUAGGAAGAUUUGCCCAGACUAUUUGUUGCACAGCCAAUCCUCAGACCAUCUUGAAGCAUGUAGAAAAGGACUAAGGAUUGGAAAUUGAGUUAAAAGGUAUUAUUGGGAGACAUUUUUAGCAUCAGCAGCAUCUGCUGGAAAGUUUAUACUCUGAACUCUAGAGAACAGUUUUGUUUAGAGGAUAUUAGCAAAUUUGUAAAGAGAAUAUGUAAAGAAAGCUGAGAAUAAUAUUUUCAAACUCUUUCCUUAUAUCCCAAGUUAACAGACAGCACUAGGGUCAAUACUAACAUGA
RNAcentral lists this long non-coding RNA (779 nucleotides) under Homo sapiens (human). Its description in RNAcentral is "HSALNT0385974". The record is from RNAcentral. Lineage: Eukaryota; Metazoa; Chordata; Mammalia; Primates; Hominidae.